This 1336-nucleotide ribosomal RNA is filed under the name Apilactobacillus kunkeei. Its description in RNAcentral is "bacterial SSU rRNA". It matches the Rfam family "Bacterial small subunit ribosomal RNA", at positions 55 to 1351 of the family's 1533-position model. Lineage: Bacteria; Bacillati; Bacillota; Bacilli; Lactobacillales; Lactobacillaceae. The record is from RNAcentral.
AUGCAGUCGAACGAGCUCUCCUAAUUGAUUUUAUGCUUGCAUAAAUGAUUUUUAGAUUCGGAGCGAGUGGCGAACUGGUGAGUAACACGUGGGUAACCUGCCCCGAAGCGGGGGAUAACAUUUGGAAACAAAUGCUAAUACCGCAUAAUUAGUUGGAACCGCAUGGUUCCAACUUGAAAGAUGGCUCUGCUAUCACUUUGGGAUGGACCCGCGCCGUAUUAGUUAGUUGGUGAGAUAAAAGCCCACCAAGACGAUGAUACGUAGCCGACCUGAGAGGGUAAUCGGCCACAUUGGGACUGAGACACGGCCCAGACUCCUACGGGAGGCAGCAGUAGGGAAUCUUCCACAAUGGACGAAAGUCUGAUGGAGCAACGCCGCGUGAGUGAUGAAGGUUUUCGGAUCGUAAAACUCUGUUGUUAAAGAAGAACAAGUGUUAGAGUAACUGUUAACACUUUGACGGUAUUUAACCAGAAAGCCACGGCUAACUACGUGCCAGCAGCCGCGGUAAUACGUAGGUGGCAAGCGUUGUCCGGAUUUAUUGGGCGUAAAGCGAGCGCAGGCGGUUUUGUAAGUCUGCUGUGAAAGCCCUCAGCUCAACUGAGGAAGUGCAGUGGAAACUACAAAACUUGAGUACAGAAGAGGAAAGUGGAACUCCAUGUGUAGCGGUGAAAUGCGUAGAUAUAUGGAAGAACACCAGUGGCGAAGGCGGCUUUCUGGUCUGUUACUGACGCUGAGGCUCGAAAGCAUGGGUAGCGAACAGGAUUAGAUACCCUGGUAGUCCAUGCCGUAAACGAUGAAUACUAGGUGUUGGAGGGUUUCCGCCCUUCAGUGCCGCAGCUAACGCAUUAAGUAUUCCGCCUGGGGGAGUACGACCGCAAGGUUGAAACUCAAAGGAAUUGACGGGGGCCCGCACAAGUGGUGGAGCAUGUGGUUUAAUUCGAUGCUACGCGAAGAACCUUACCAGCUCUUGACAUCUUCUGCCAACCCAAGAGAUUGGGCGUUCCCUUCGGGGACAGAAUGACAGGUGGUGCAUGGUUGUCGUCAGCUCGUGUCGUGAGAUGUUGGGUUAAGUCCCGCAACGAGCGCAACCCUUAUUAUUAGUUGCCAGCAUUUAGUUGGGCACUCUAGUGAGACUGCCGGUGAUAAACCGGAGGAAGGUGGGGACGACGUCAAAUCAUCAUGCCCCUUAUGAGCUGGGCUACACACGUGCUACAAUGGAUGGUACAACGAGUCGCGAAACCGCGAGGUCAAGCUAAUCUCUUAAAGCCAUUCUCAGUUCGGAUUGCAGGCUGCAACUCGCCUGCAUGAAGUUGGAAUCACUAGUAAUCGUGGAUCA